Molecule: unclassified non-coding RNA, 163 nt
Filed under: Aliivibrio wodanis
Lineage: Bacteria; Pseudomonadati; Pseudomonadota; Gammaproteobacteria; Vibrionales; Vibrionaceae
Description: putative sRNA
Source: RNAcentral
UUUAUCUUUAACUAAUUUAUUAUCACACAUAUCUGUAAAUGAUUGCAUCGAAUUCACUAUAAUAGUCAUUAGUACCCCACUCAUUAAUCUGACCUAAAUUAUCAUUACCCAAAGCACAUACCCGCCACAUCAAAGCCUAACACCACACUAGCGCCAAAAAAUU